This 427-nucleotide ribosomal RNA is filed under the name uncultured bacterium. RNAcentral describes it as "partial 16S ribosomal RNA". It matches the Rfam family "Bacterial small subunit ribosomal RNA", at positions 354 to 796 of the family's 1533-position model. The record is from RNAcentral.
GUGAGGAAUCUUCCACAAUGGGCGAAAGCCUGAUGGAGCAACGCCGCGUGAAGGAUGAAGGUCUUCGGAUUGUAAACUUCUUUUAUGAGUGAAGAAUAUGACGGUAACUCAUGAAUAAGCACCGGCUAACUACGUGCCAGCAGCCGCGGUCAUACGUAGGGUGCAAGCAUUAUCCGGAGUGACUGGGCGUAAAGAGUUGCGUAGGCGGUUAUGUAAGCGAAUAGUGAAACCUGGUGGCUCAACCACACAGAAUAUUAUUCGAAAUGCAUAACUCGAGAAUGGUAGAGGUAACUGGAAUUUCUUGUGUAGGAGUGAAAUCCGUAGAUAUAAGAAGGAACACCAAUGGCGUAGGCAGGUUACUGGGCCAUUUCUGACGCUAAGGCACGAAAGCGUGGGGAGCGAACCGGAUUAGAAACCCGUGUAGUCC